This 517-nucleotide long non-coding RNA is filed under the name Apteryx rowi (Okarito brown kiwi). RNAcentral's name for it is "lncRNA (ENSARWG00000009614.1)". The record is from RNAcentral. Lineage: Eukaryota; Metazoa; Chordata; Aves; Apterygiformes; Apterygidae.
AAUUCUUUGAACCUGCAUGCCAGAUGGAUUCAUCUAAAGGAGAAAAUACAAAGAAAAAGAUAACCAAAUGUAUAAAACAAAGUUCCAGAACUGAUGAAAUGAUGGAACAAACCACCAGACCAAAACGACCUCGAAGAGCUGCAUUAGCAAAAAAUUACAAGGAACCUUCAAGUUCAGAGUCAGAGAGUGAAAGRAAGUCUUCAGCAUGCACCUCUAAGAAAGAGAAAUCAAAAGCACAGGAACAUAUAAAUGGGCAAAAGAAAAAUGAUAAUCAGCAGAAGGAACUACAGAGUGUUAUAUCURUGGAGCCAAAAAAGAGAGCAGCAGACUAUACACAUAAAACAUUUAUUGAAUCAAAGGAUUCUGCAAAUCAAAAAGAAAUUGAAAUGCCUUCAUCUGAAAGUCCUGCAUCUCUUGAGGCAAUGAGAUUUAAGCAACUGUUUUCUAGGUGCUGAAAGAAUAUCAGAGGGAGAUUUUACUCAAGAGCAUAUUUCUAGUGAAAGAUCACCUGGGCUGC